GCCCGAAACAUCAACAGGAUUGUUCCAUGGCACUGUACAAAAUGGGGACCAAAGUUGCAGCACCUUGCCUAUGGAUGCAGCAAAUCCAUCUUUAACACCACAGGUUAGCAUAAAAAAGGUGAUACGUCUGCAGUUUUGCUCCUGAACUAAAUGCAGUGGAUUUAUGAGCUCAUUGCUGUGUAAUAUGCAAAAGGUUUUACUGUAUAAACAAAAGGAUGCAGGUUCAUAGGCAUGUCGAGCCGGCUGUAGCGAGGCUGCCGAAGUUCAGAUAUGUUGUUCGACCAAUUCAGAAGAGUCAUUUGAUGGGGUGCGAAGCAGUACAUCCGACAAGUUCUCUUGCUAAAAUGUUGCUGAUUCGAACUGGUUGUUUGUGAUGCUACAUGUGAUGUAUAAAAAAUGGACAGAGAUGGUAAGAUUACAUCUGUAAGUACUGAUUUGUCUGCUUGAGGUUUGGAACAAGUGCAGAGAAUCCAAGUAUGCUCCAGGUCAUCUACUGCCUUAAACUGUAUCUAAAAGGGCUUCCUUGAUGCUAUCGACGCAAGAUAGCCUCCCAAUGCCACACCUACCUUGUCAACUCGCCUCAAUAAAUGAAGCUUGGCGGUGUGCACGGCAGUGCUGAUGUGAACCGGGAUGGGCUCUUCCGCAUGCGACGACAUCUCUGCAUCGACCCUCUCUCUCAUAUAUAUGAACUUCAUUUUUAUGUAGAGAAUAUCUAGACUUCAGUUCAUUACAGGACGCAGUGUGUUACACUAGCAGUACAUAAAAGUUUCUCCAUGUAUCAAAAAACAGAAGUUCAUUUAUAUGGUGUAGAGUUGAUGUGGUUGAUAUGAGAAACAAAGUUUACUUCGCUUAAA
Lolium perenne is the source of this 854-nucleotide long non-coding RNA. RefSeq lists it as uncharacterized. Lineage: Eukaryota; Viridiplantae; Streptophyta; Magnoliopsida; Poales; Poaceae. The record is from RefSeq and is a predicted model, not a curated record.